This 448-nucleotide ribosomal RNA is filed under the name uncultured bacterium. RNAcentral describes it as "bacterial SSU rRNA". It matches the Rfam family "Bacterial small subunit ribosomal RNA", at positions 330 to 793 of the family's 1533-position model. The record is from RNAcentral.
CCCAGACUCCUACGGGAGGCAGCAGUGGGGAAUAUUGCACAAUGGGGGAAACCCUGACGCAGCGACGCCGCGUGAGUGAAGAAGUAAUUCGUUAUGUAAAGCUCUCUCAGCAGGGAAGAAAAUGACGGUACCUGAGUAAGAAGCCCCGGCUAACUACGUGCCAGCAGCCGCGGUAAUACGUAGGUGGCAAGCGUUAUCCGGAUUUACUGGGUGUAAAGGGCGUGUAGGCGGGGAAGCAAGUCAGAUGUGAAAACCACGGGCUCAACCUGUGGCCUGCAUUUGAAACUGUUUUUCUUGAGUACUGGAGAGGCAGACGGAAUUCCUAGUGUAGCGGUGAAAUGCGUAGAUAUUAGGAGGAACACCAGUGGCGAAGGCGGUCUGCUGGACAGCAACUGACGCUGAGGCGCGAAAGCGUGGGGAGCAAACAGGAUUAGAUACCCUAGUAACG